This 77-nucleotide transfer RNA is filed under the name Piscirickettsiaceae bacterium. RNAcentral describes it as "tRNA-Val". It matches the Rfam family "tRNA". From Rfam's summary of the family: Transfer RNA (tRNA) molecules are approximately 80 nucleotides in length. Their secondary structure includes four short double-helical elements and three loops (D, anti-codon, and T loops). Further hydrogen bonds mediate the characteristic L-shaped molecular structure. tRNAs have two regions of fundamental functional importance: the anti-codon, which is responsible for specific mRNA codon recognition, and the 3' end, to which the tRNAs corresponding amino acid is attached (by aminoacyl-tRNA synthetases). tRNAs cope with the degeneracy of the genetic code in two manners: having more than one tRNA (with a specific anti-codon) for a particular amino acid; and 'wobble' base-pairing, i.e. permitting non-standard base-pairing at the 3rd anti-codon position. The record is from RNAcentral. Lineage: Bacteria; Pseudomonadati; Pseudomonadota; Gammaproteobacteria; Thiotrichales; Piscirickettsiaceae.
AGGCGCGUAGCUCAGUUGGUUAGAGCACUACUAUGACAUAGUAGGGGUCACUGGUUCGAAUCCAGUCGCGCCUACCA